Molecule: ribosomal RNA, 440 nt
Filed under: uncultured bacterium
Lineage: Bacteria
Description: partial 16S ribosomal RNA
Rfam family: Bacterial small subunit ribosomal RNA
Source: RNAcentral
CUACGGGGCGCAGCAGUGGGGAAUAUUGCACAAUGGAGGAAACUCUGAUGCAGCAACGCCGCGUGGAGGAUGACGCAUUUCGGUGUGUAAACUCCUUUUAUAUGUCAAGAAAAUGACGGUAGCAUAUGAAUAAGCACCGGCUAACUCCGUGCCAGCAGCCGCGGUAAUACGGAGGGUGCAAGCGUUACUCGGAAUCACUGGGCGUAAAGGACGCGUAGGCGGGUUGGAAAGUCAGGUGUGAAAUCCUACAGCUUAACUGUAGAACUGCACUUGAAACUUCUAAUCUAGAGUAUGGGAGGGGGAGAUGGAAUUAGUGGUGUAGGGGUAAAAUCCGUAGAUAUCACUAGGAAUACCUAAAGCGAAGGCGAUCUCCUGGAACAUUACUGACGCUAAGGCGUGAAAGCGUGGGGAGCAAACAGGAUUAGAUAACCCGGGUAGUC